RNAcentral lists this ribosomal RNA (301 nucleotides) under uncultured bacterium. Its description in RNAcentral is "partial 16S ribosomal RNA". It matches the Rfam family "Bacterial small subunit ribosomal RNA", at positions 509 to 807 of the family's 1533-position model. The record is from RNAcentral.
CAGUCGCCGCGGUAAUACGAAGGGUGCAAGCGUUAAUCGGGAUUACUGGGCGUAAAGCGUGCGUAGGCGGUGAGUUAAGUCUGCUGUGAAAUCCCCGGGCUCAACCUGGGAAUGGCAGUGGAUACUGGCUCGCUAGAGUGUGUCAGAGGAUGGUGGAAUUCCCGGUGUAGCGGUGAAAUGCGUAGAGAUCGGGAGGAACAUCAGUGGCGAAGGCGGCCAUCUGGGACAACACUGACGCUGAGGCACGAAAGCGUGGGGAGCAAACAGGAUUAGAUACCCCCGUAGUCCCUGUCUCUUAUAC